This 1994-nucleotide ribosomal RNA is filed under the name human gut metagenome. RNAcentral describes it as "bacterial LSU rRNA". It matches the Rfam family "Bacterial large subunit ribosomal RNA", at positions 446 to 2425 of the family's 2925-position model. The record is from RNAcentral.
GGGGGGACCACCCUCCAAGGCAAAACACAGAUAUCGACCGAUAGCGCAUAGUACCAUGAGGGAAAGGUGAAAAGCACCCCGGGAGGGGAAUGAAACAGAACCUGAAACCGUAUGUUUACAAGCAGUCGAAGACCGCUUAAUAAUAAGGUCAACGGCGUGCCUAUUGAAGAAUGAACCGGCGAGUUAUGAGGUCCAGCAAGGUUAAGCAGGAAAUGCGGAGCCGAAGCGAAAGCGAGUCUUAAUAGGGCGACAAGUUGGAUUGCAUAGACCCGAAACCACAGUGAUCUACCCAUGUCCAGGCUGAAGCACAGGUAAAAAUGUGUGGAGGGCCGAACCUAUAUCCGUUGAAAAGGGUUAGGAUGAGGUGUGGGUAGGGGUGAAAUUCCAAUCGAACGUGGAGAUAGCUGGUUCUCCCCGAAAUAGCUUUAGGGCUAGCCUCGAGGUAGAGAUUGCAGGCGGUAGAGCACUGAUCAGGAGAGGGGCCUACCCGGCUACCAAACCCAGUCAAACUACGAAUGGCUGCAAUUAUACUCGGGAGUCAGACUACGACUUAUAAGGGCCGUGGUCAAAAGGGAAACAGCCCAGAUCAUCAGCUAAGGUCCCAAAUGCCGUGCUAAGUGGCGAAGGAUGUGGCGUUUCAUAAACAACCAGGAUGUUGGCUCAGAAGCAGCCACCAUUUAAAGAGUGCGUAAUAGCUCACUGGUCGAGAGACGCUGCGCCGAAAAUGUCCGGGGCUCAAGCACGGAACCGAAGCUAUGGCAUUGACUAUGUCAAUGGGUAGGGGAGCGUUCUUAACAGGAAGAAGCAUGACCGUAAGGACAUGUGGACCGUUAAGAAGUGAGAAUGCCGGUAUGAGUAUCGAAAAGAAAGGUGAGAAUCCUUUCCACCGAAAGCCCGAGGGUUCCUGAGCAACGAUCGUCGUCUCAGGGUAAGUCGGGACCUAAGCCGAGGCGGAGACGCAUAGGCGAUGGACAACAGGUUGAAAUUCCUGUACCGGAUACAAUCGUUUGAGCGAUGGAGCGACGCAGAAAGGCAUAUGAUCGCGCGACUGGAAGAGCGCGUCCAAGUGCGUAUGUUGAAUCGGAGGCAAAUCCCUGAUUCUGAAAGCAGAGACACGAUGGGGAGUUAUACGAAAGUAUGACGAACUCAUAGAUCCUACACUGCCAAGAAAAACUUCUAGUGAGAAAGUAUCCGCCCGUACCGUAAACCGACACAGGUAGGCGGGGAGAGAAUCCUAAGGUGCGCGGGAAAACCCUCGUUAAGGAACUCGGCAAAUUGCAUCCGUAACUUAGGGAGAAGGAUGACCUUAAGUAAGCGAAAGGGAGAAACCCCUGGAACAGAACAAGGUGGCAGAAAAGAGGCCCAAGCAACUGUUUACCAAAAACACAGGUGCCUGCGAAAGCGAAAGCUGAAGUAUAGGUGCUGACGCCUGCCCGGUGCUGGAAGGUUAAGGAGAGAUGUCAGAGCAAUCGAAGCAUUGAACUGAAGCCCCAGUGAACGGCGGCCGUAACUAUAACGGUCCUAAGGUAGCGAAAUUCCUUGUCGGGUAAGUUCCGACCCGCAUGAAAGGCGUAAUGAUUUGGGCACUGUCUCAACGAGGGGCCCGGUGAAAUUGAAAUACCUGUGAAGAUGCAGGUUACCCGCGACUGGACAGAAAGACCCCAUGGAGCUUCACUGCAGCUUGAGAUUGAAUCUCGGUGAUGCAUGCACAGGAUAGGUGGGAGACUUUGAAGUAUGGGCUUUGGCUUAUACCGAGUCGAUGUUGGGAUACCACCCUUGUAUUGCUGAGAUUCUAACACGGAGGCUAACAACCUCGUGGACCAUCUCAGGUAGGCGGUUUGACUGGGGCGGUCGCCUCCGAAAGAGUAACGGAGGCGCCCAAAGGUUCCCUCAGGUCGGACAGAAACCGACCGAAGAGUGCAAAGGCAGAAGGGAGCUUGACUGCGAGACAGACAAGUCGAGCAGAGACGAAAGUCGGGCUUAGUGAUCCGGUG